GACAGAGGGUGCAAGCGUUGUUCGGAAUUAUUGGGCGUAAAGGGCGCGUAGGUGGCCUUGUAAGUCAGAUGUGAAAGCUCUGGGCUUAACCCAGAAAGUGCAUCUGAUACUGCUCGGCUUGAGUCUCGGAGAGGAUGGUGGAAUUCCCAGUGUAGAGGUGAAAUUCGUAGAUAUUGGGAGGAACACCGGUGGCGAAGGCGACCAUCUGGACGAAGACUGACACUGAGGCGCGAAAGCUAGGGGAGCGAACGGG
This 253-nucleotide ribosomal RNA is filed under the name uncultured bacterium. RNAcentral's name for it is "partial 16S ribosomal RNA". It matches the Rfam family "Bacterial small subunit ribosomal RNA", at positions 524 to 776 of the family's 1533-position model. The record is from RNAcentral.